This 8913-nucleotide long non-coding RNA is filed under the name Homo sapiens (human). RNAcentral's name for it is "HSALNT0381467". The record is from RNAcentral. Lineage: Eukaryota; Metazoa; Chordata; Mammalia; Primates; Hominidae.
GUCUGCUCAGCAUCCUGAUCCAAACAAGCCACUUUAAAAAGUGCAGUUAUGAAACAAUUCGAACACUGACUGGACUACUGUUUAUAUUUUUAGAUGUGAUACUGUGGUUAUGUUUCUCUAAAAGUCCUUGUCUGUUAGAGAUACACACUGAAGUGUUUACAGAGAGAAUGAUACAAUCGCUGUCUGGAAUCCGCUUCAAUACCAUCCAUUGUUGGAGGGUGGGUAGUGGGGUUAGGGGGUUUUGAGGAAACAAGAUUGGCCCGGUCUAUCAGCAUUGAUGCUGGGUGAGAUAGGUAAAUGGGGGUUCAUUAUACACUUUACUUUUGAAAAUGAAGUUUUUCGUAAUAAAAAGUUGAAAGAAAGAAGGAAGGGAGAUGGGAAGGCAGGGAAAGGAGAAAGGGAAGGAGAGAAGGAAAAGAUUCUGCUCAAAUGUCCCUUUGGAAACCUUCCUUGACCCCCGCGUUGGUGUGGGGCCGGGGGAAUGGGGAGGCUGUUUUCUGCUCAGCCAGAGCAACAAGGCCCAUGAGGAGACAGGAGGGAUGUCUGGGGAGCAGUCCCAAGCCACAGAGUCCUUCUGGGGACCAGCCACACCAUGAAGAGAGAGCAGAACAGGGAGCAUAGCACAGACCUAUGACAUAGCACUGUGCCAUGACAUCAGCUGGCAAAGGCCCAUGGGACCAGGAGGGAGGCAUUAGAAGGGCGAACACUAGCAGCUGUUGAGUAGGAAGAAAUGUGAGCCGACUUCUCUACCUAAGGAAGCGGUGGCAAGGCCGUGGAGGUUCGGGAUGGGGACGGGUUCCAGGAUUAGAGUGCUUUUUUUUUUCUUUCUUUCUUUUGAAGGAGGAGAGGCUAUGGGAGCCUCAGGUACCGAGCAUCUGGUGUCUGGAGAGAUGCAGCUACUCAAGGCAGUUUCUGAUCUGGAACCAGGAAGUCUCUGUUUCCCCACCAGCCAGCAAACGUUCUGGACUUGGUGCUGGGCCUGCCACCACCAAAGGUGGAGAUGCCCCACAUACCUGCGUCAGGCAUGACAGGUCACCCCUGAGUCCUUGGGUCUCCCCAAGGCUUCUCCAGGGCUUCCCAACAGGGCUGAGAUUCAAGAAAACGCUCAAGGUCCACCCCACUGCUCCGACCCUCUCACCAGAAGAAAAGGGCUGUGUCCCAAGGGCAGCCUGCUUGGGAAAAGAAUAUGUGGGGUGACUUGUCCAGAUCUGCCCAGGGAGGCUGGGAAUGGAGAGAGAAAGGAAUCUGCCCACCAGUUGGGGGAAAAGUGGAUUUCGCAACAACCUUGAUGAUAUUAAAUGCUUGGGGGGCCUGGGAAGACCAAAUGUUUAAUAUUUGGAGAAGAGGCUGUCUAAACAGAGUAAUUAGGAGGCUCCUUUGUAGUGAUAUGAAAGAGAUGAAUUGGGUAUAUUUGACAUCAAAGACAGGAGAUCCAGUGGGGAAUGAGACCCACGGCCGGGCGUGGGCAGCGCUGGAGGACAGGCUCUCCCAGUGUGCUGCGGGGGAGGGCAGCCCCUGCAGUGUGCGUGUUGAGUGCUGGGAAACCCCCAAGUAACACUUCCCCCCUCAUUUAACACACUUCCUAAAACCUCUCCUCCCCAAAAGCCACUUUGCAAAAGCAGCGAUUACCACCAACCACGAGAAACACAGGAGCCUGCCUUCCACUGUUUACCACUGGGCAGGAAGUCGUUUAUGGACCAGUCUCUUGCCCAGGCUAAACUCAGAAGUGGACACUGAGGGCCGGUUGUGGGUGCCACCAGGCAAGCUAGGGCAUCGGAGUUCAGCAGAGCUGGGUGGGAAUUCUGCUUCUCCCUCCACUACCUGGGUAACCCUGGGCAAGUCACUUAGCCUCUCCGAGCAUAAACUGGUUUGCUUGUAAUAUGCAAAUAAUAAGGGGUGGGGGAAAUUUUUUUUUUUUUUUUUGAGACAGAGUCUCGCUCUGUCACCCAGGCUGGAGUGCAGUGGCGUGAUCUCGGCUCAUUGCAACCUCCGCCUCCUGGGUUCAAGCAAUUCUCCUGCCUCAGCCUCCUGAGUAGCUGGGAUUACAGGCGCCCGCCACCACUCCCAGCUAAUUUUUGUAUUUUUAGUAGGGACGAGGUUUCACCAUGUUGGUCAGGCUGGUCUCAAACUCCUGACCUCGUGAUCUGCCCUCCUUGGCCUUCCAAAGUGCUGGGAUUACAGGCGUGAUGGAGAUGAUACUCCCUAAAUCACAAGGGUGUGGUGUGAAGAUGAAAUGGCUGCACGUGACAGAGGAGUUGGAGAACAGGAAGCAAGUGGAUUACUUGGAUGAACUGUGAUGGGCCCAAGAAGAACUAAGCCAAUCACUCCAGGGGGCGUUUUCCCAGGAUCCAGGCAGAGAGCUGAUUCCAGCAUCCACGUUGUAUCCCCCUCCCGCUGUGGCCGGGGUCUCCAAGAGCCGGGCACCCACUGCAGAGCUUCCAAGCCCAGGCCCAUUUGAACACAGGAGGACUUUUGAGGUUCAUUUAACCCCAAAAUCAGUGAUUCUACAUCUCAAGCUCAUAUUUUGAAGUGUUUACGGGUAAGUCAUAUGAUACUGGUCAUUUAUUUUUUAAAUAUUCUAGCCAAAAGUACAUGGUAGACAAAGUGAGAAUGUCAGAAUGUUGAUAAUUAGUGAAACUAGACGAAGAUACAUGAAAGUUUAAUUUUGAUUCUCACCUACUUUCAUGUGCAUUAGGAAACUUUCAUAAUAAGUUAAAGUAACAAAAUAGGCCAGACUCGGCUGCUCAUGCCUGCAAUCCCAGCACUUUGGGCGGCUAAGGCAGGCGGAUUACUUGAGGUCACGAGUUUGAAACCAGCCUGGCCAACGUGGUGAAACCCCAUCUCCCCUAGAAAAUAAAACAAAAAAAAAAAUUGUAGCUGGGCAUGGUGGCAGGCCCCUGUAAUCCCACCUACUCAGGAGGGUGAGGGAGGAGAAUCGCUUGAGCCUCAGAGGCAGAGGUUGCAGUGAGCCAAGAUUGCGCCAUUGCACUCCAGCCUGGGUGAGAGAGCGAGACUCCAUCUCUGAAUAAAUAAAGUAACAAAAUACAUUUCAGUCUCGAGCUCCAGUUCCCUGCCAGGAAGAGCUGAAGCUGAGCUCUGGCACCCCCUGCUUCUUCUCCCUCAUCCCUAAAACAUGUGGGGUACUGGGUGCCAAAGGAGAUCUGAAGAUGGCCACCACUCAGACCAGCAGUAGAGGCCAAGAAGGUGGUGAGAAAUUUUAAGGUAUUGUAGCAUAUGCUCUCCAGGGUGAGGACACAGGAUGCUGGGACCUAAGGAGGGAGAAGUUAACCCAGAGAGGGCCCAAGUCAGGGAGGACCUGACUGUGGUGACAGAGCCAGUCAUGCUAAUAAUAGGAGCAGUGGUUUUGCAAUCACAAAUAUUGGUCUGGGGGACUGCGGGCCCAAUGUGGUGGGAGUUUUAGAGCAGGGACCCCUCCACUGUACGUGGAUUCUUAUACUUGCUAAGUUGCACUGAAUUCUCAAUCAACCCAUUUGGAGGCUCUCACCAAGACAGGAGUCCCUUUGAAUUGGUAGGAUGUUAAAAGCUUCCUCCAGCCAUUGACCCUGGGUCCCAUUGGUAGAAAUCAGAUAAUAAAUCAGAUUUUCCAGGUAAUCCUCAGUUUAAUGUCCAUUCCCUCAUUCAAUCAAUUAUUCAAUUACAAAUCAUUUUUAAUAUGAUUUUAUGGUUCAGGAAUUCAGGCAGGGCUCAGAUGGGCAGUUCUUCUGCCCCACAUGGCAUUGGCUGAUAACAGGCUACCCCAAGGAAAUCACAGUGUAAUGGGAGAUGGGAAAUAGGUUAACACAAAGUUACUAUACUACAAGAAAAAUCUUCAAAUCUUCAAUCUUCAUUCUUCAUGGGUGUGAGUCUUCUCUGGUGGAGAAGAGAGUUCUUUGCUAAAUUAUAUUCCUGUGUUAGCCAGCCAAGCACACACGGAGUACAGCUGUCCCUUGCUAUUCAUGGCAGAUUGAUCCCAGACACUGCCACCCCCAGCCCUGUGAACACCAAAACCCAUGGAUGCUCAAGUCCUUGAUAUAAAAUGGUAUGGUAUUUGCACAUAACCUACACACAUCUUCCCAUAUACUUUAAAUCAUCACUAGAUUACUUAUAAUACCUAAUGCAAUGUAAAUGCUAUGUAAGUAGUUGCUACGCUGUAUUGCUUAGGGAAUAAUGACAAGAAAAAAAGGCUGUACAACUUCAGUACAAAUGCUAUCAUUCAUUUUUUUAUCUGAAUAUUAUGAUCCAUGAAUACAGAGGGCUGGCUGUAAAAAGAAUGUACAGUUUGGUACUUUACUCCUAGUUUAAGUCAUCUCUUUCGGCCCAUACAGGUUGCCUGGGGCAGGGCGGUGGUGAGUGUGUUGAGUCGGCCCUAUACCCUGUUCCACAAUGCCUGGUGUCCUUGGCACGUAGCUUGCAGGGCUGCUUCCAUGGAUGGCUGCCUCAUCCCCCACCCCUCCUUCAUGGCACCCUCUUUUCUCCAACUCCUUUUCCUCUGCUGAGUCCUACCUUUUCUUGCCAGACCAGGGAUUUGCCAAUUAUUCUGGAUGGGCACAGGGAAGGGGCCCUCAGAUCCUGCAGAGGGAGCAUCUGAAAGACAAUGAGACCCUGUACACAACCAAGCUGAGCCUCCUGUAAGCACAUCCUCUGGGUGUCACUAUGCGAAAAGACUCUUUGUCUGUUUACAUUGCACAACGAAUUGUCCCUCUGAUUGUCCUAGCGUUGGUGCAUGCAUGGAUCCAGGAAGAGCAGGUAUUUGGACCCAACGAGACAGGUUCAUCUUGGCAGUUUGUCUCCUGUGGUUGCUUUGUGCCUGCCCCGUAUCUAUCCACCCAACUUCUGGCAGCAAUCCCUCCAGGACCCACCUCUGUCUUCAUGGUUUGUGUGUUCUGAUCCUGCUCCUUGGCCCCAGAAUACACCCUCCACAUCUAAGCUAUGCAGUGCCUCAUCCCCACAGCUGCAGCGAUUGGUUUAGGAAUGGGAAAAUAAUCCAAUCAAAGUAAGAUUGUCUAAUAUCUGAUCCCGCUUACCCCGGAGCCAGAAGUCCCACCUUUCCAGGCUCCUCCAUGUUCCUUUCUGGAGCAAUGAGGAGGAAGGUUCAUUCCCUUCUCAGGGAACUUGCUGCGGUGUCCCAGUCCUGACUGUCCCCUCUCUACCCCUGCCUGUGGCUCUCCCGUCUCCUGGCAUUCUAACCUGCCACUGAAUUCUUCCCACGCCAAACGCAGGUUAGGAACCUAAGCUCGGAUGAAAUGCUGGCUUAGACCUCAUUGCUACUGAGAAGCAGAAACCACACUUUUUAGUUGGUAGAGGUGGAUGUGGAUUGGGGCCAUAAAGUUUCCUCAAUCAUUGAAUAAGGAUUUCAUUAUUUGGACUAACUAAAUACAUUAGAUUAUUUAUACUAACUAAAUAAAUUAGAUUUAUUUUUCGAAGUUUAAAAUCAUUUUCAAUAGUGACGAAAAAGGCUGUAGAUGAGAUGGGAGAAUCUUUCGACGCCAAAUUCUUCCCAUCUCCUGCCUAGUAUGUAUCACUACACCUUGCCCAGAGAGACUGUAGGGGUGCUCAGCAAAAACCAUGGCUGGUUGAUUCCCUGGAAAAAGGGGUGCUGUCCCAGGGAGCUCUGUGCCCUUCCUGCCAACACUGGGGUCUAGAGGAGGCAAGUUCCCCUCUGAAGGUGAGUAUGAUUCACUCAUUAAAACUAAGAAAUUUACAUUGGUAUGUUACUGUUAACUAACCUACAGACUUUUUUUAGAUUUCACCGUUCUUUACACUCUCGUCCUUUCCAAUUUCCGGGAUCCAAUGCAGGAUACCAGGUUGCAUUUUUGGAUGUGUCCAGUCUGUGAUCAUUUCUCAAUCUUUCCUCAUUUUCUCAUGACUUUUGACAUUUAUUUAUUUAUUUAUUGUGUGAGACUGAGUCUCACUCUGUUGCCUAGGCUGGAGUGCAGUGGCCCCAUCCUGGCUCACUACAAUCUCCACCUCCCGGGUUCAAAUGAUUCUCCUGCCUCAGCCUCCCAAGCAGCUGGGAUUACAGGCGCACACCACCACGCCUGGCUAAUUUGUAUUUUUAGUAGAGAUGGGGUUUCACCAUGUUAGCCAGGCUGGUCUCAAACUCCUGACUUCAGGUGAUCUGCCUGCCUCGGCCUCCCAAAGUGCUAGGAUUACAGGCGCAGGCCACCACGCCCAGCCUGACUUCUGACAUUAGAGUACAGGGAGGGAUUCUGUAGAAUGUCCCUCAAUUUGGGUGUGUCUGGUGUUUUGCCAUGAGACUGGGGUUAUGCUUCUGGGUGCCACACAGAGGUGAAAUGUCCUUCUCAUCACAUUAUUCGAGAGGUACAUGGUACCAAUGGGACUUAUCGCUGCUGAUGUUAACCUUGAUCUCUUGGUUCAGGUGGUGCCUGCCAGCUGUCUCCACUGUGGAGUUACUAUUUUUCCUUUUCCCCAUUUUAUUCAUCAGAAGCCAGUCACUAAGCGAGGUCAAACUCCAGGACAGGGGAAUUAAGUGCCACCUUCUGGAGAGGGAGCAUUCACAUUUAUUACUUGGGAUCCUUCUGUAAGGAAGAGCUGUUUCUCCUCUAAAAAACUCUUUAAUCCUUUUAAGCCUCAAUUUCUUAAUUGUGAAAUGGGGCUAAUACCUGUAUCCAACCAAGGGAGUAGUUAGAAGGUAACAUGAUAGGUGGAAAGCACUUAACAUAGGCAAAAUGUUAUUAUCAGGAAUGAUCGAGAGACCCAUCCAACUAUCUGAAGGAGUCACUUAACUCUACUGUACUGCAGCGCUGUAAAGUCUGCAUCUUUCACUGGGGGUAAAGGCCCCCAGUCCCUGAGACGGGCCAGUUUGGAGACAGGCUGGUUUUUUCUCUGUUCUCCUGAGAGCCCUUCAGAUGAGAAGGGAGGUCUGGAGACAGAAUGCCAAAAGCCCAUUAAAGGCACGGCCUUGCAUUUCAGAGAGGGAGCAGGUCUAGAGAAGAACCAGAGGAGCUCAGCUGAGAUAUGGUGUAUGGAUUGGAUUUUGGUAGAAGAUGGGAAGAACCAAACACCUGAGAAACCACUUUGAAGAUCGGGGUCAGAGUAAGGCCUAACACAUAGUUGGCUCCCAGUAAUUAUUGGUUGAUUGAACAGCUCAAAGAGCAACUCGACCAAGAACACUGGACUGGGAGUCCAGUUACUUGGAUCUUGCAUUCCUGAUUUAUUUUUAUUUUAUAUGUAUUUUUUCUAUUUUUUUGAGACGAAGUCUCACUCACUCUGUCGCCCAGGCUGGACUACAAUGGCACGAUCUCGGCUCACUGCAAACUCUGCCUCCCAGGUUCAAGCGAUUCUCCUGCCUCAGCCUCUCGAGUAGCUAGGAUUACAGGCAUGCACCACCACGCUGGCUAAUUUUUGUAUUUUUAGUAGAGACGGGGUUUUGCCAUGUUGGCCAUGCUGGUGUCCACCUCCUGACCUCAGUUGAUCUUCCUGCCUCAGCCUUCCAAAAUGUUGGGAUUACAGGCGUGAGCCACCGUGCCUGGCCGUGAUUUAUUUUUUUUGUGUAUGUUUGUUUUUGUCAACUUGCUGUGUGACCUUAAGCAAGUUACUUAACUUCUCUGGGCUUCACUUUCCAUGGAUGAACAUUGUAAAGAGGCUGGAGAGAGAUGAGGACUAGGUACAGGCUUUAGAGGAGAGCCACCGCCCCGGACUUCUCCCUCUGUCACCCCGCUUUCCAUGACCCUCCUUGCCUGACUUUGUGACUCCUUGCCUCGCUAUCAAAACAAGUGCUGCAAUCUCAGUGCUUUCCAAGAGCCCUGCAUUGUUAGAAACUUCCCAGCACGCAGCAAAGGCUGCUGCAAUACUCGCUCUGCCUGCCUUUGCCCUGCGCUUCCUACUUACCCUCCUUUUGUUUCUCCCAAACAUCUGUCCCUGACUAUGCUCAUCUCAUGUUUGUCCUCAGCUGCUGAAAGGGCCACGUUUGUUUUCAUUACAAAUAAGACCACCGAGUGGGCUCCUGGCGUGGGGGCGGGACCAGCCGCGCGCAGUCUUCAGAGGCAGCCCCCCAGGCUGUCUCUGGAGGGUGUGUCUCUGCUUCCCUUUCCCCGUGUUUAUUUUCAGACGAAGCCAAGUGGCCCGGGGGGACCCUCCGGACUCCCAGCCUUCAGAGAGGAGGGCAGCUCGGGCUUUCGCCGCAGUGCUUCCUGCCCGUCACGUGUGUGCUCCUAGCCGGGGUCGGGGGAGCUGGUAUCUUGGCCCUUCUGGGAGGACGCGCACAGCCCGAGGAGGCAGAGCCCCAGACGGGAAUGGGCUUUUCAGAGGUGGGGUGCGGGCGAGGGGACGAUGCAUUAUUUUUAAUAUUUGAUUUAUUUUUCCAACUGGACUUCUUCCCGGGGCUCUUUCUGGGCCCAGCUGCCUUUGUGAUCCCGCGCCCCGGUCCUCGGCCUCUCACCUCCAGCGCCGGGGCGCCCCCUGCUGUCGGAAGCGGCUGUGACCGGGCAGAGGUGCUAUCUGGGACUCUGGGUUCUCAGCCCGGGGACAGCGAACCGAGGGGCAGAUGAUCCAUCAGAAAAGAGCCGGCACUGCCCAGCCCCGCGCCCCUGCCCCUGCCUUUUUCCGGGAGCGCGCCGCGCCGCACCCGCUACGGCCGCUUGACCCCAUCUUUGAGCCCGGCCCCAAGCUCUGGGACCGUCGUGCCCCUCAUCAAGGAAGAGCCAAGGACCCCAAGGAGAAGAGAAAGGAGUUCAUGAAGGCAGAAAUGCCUGGGGCCCACGAACAUCCCAGUGUGGCCCUGGACGGGACAUCAUGCUGGGCAACACAGCUAAAAUGCGGGUGAAGACCAGAUUUCUUGCACAUGGCGGUGACGGGAUGCUCCCUAGAGAGCUUCAAGUGGAUUCUUUGCUUUUUAUUUUCUCUCUUAAUAAAAAUGUAUGAUGUUUACAUUGUCAGAGAACAAACAGAACU